RNAcentral lists this long non-coding RNA (325 nucleotides) under Anser brachyrhynchus (Pink-footed goose). RNAcentral's name for it is "lncRNA (ENSABRG00000006982.1)". Lineage: Eukaryota; Metazoa; Chordata; Aves; Anseriformes; Anatidae. The record is from RNAcentral.
UAAGAGACCCUCACCUUUUUUCUCUUCCAGCAAAAGCUUGUUUUCACGGUGAUAGCAAGAAAGAGGUACCAGGACUCCCUCAGCAGAAUCUUUCAGAGGAAUGAAGGAGUAGCUGCAGCCAAAAUCAUUGGUCCUCAUGCGGUGCUGAGGGGAAGUGAUUUUAUCACCUGGAAAGGACAGGAUGGUCCUGUGCAAAGCAUGCACGUGUAUGGCACUCACAAACCUGCAUGUACAUGGCUUGUCCUGGCAGCCAGCUAAGGACACAGUUAUCUUCACUCACCUGUAAAUGUAACCAUGCACCACCUGUACUUCCCUGCAGCAUCAG